RNAcentral lists this transfer-messenger RNA (411 nucleotides) under uncultured Mucinivorans sp. It matches the Rfam family "transfer-messenger RNA". Rfam says of the family: Bacterial tmRNA, also known as 10Sa RNA or SsrA, is named for its dual tRNA and mRNA-like properties. Lineage: Bacteria; Pseudomonadati; Bacteroidota; Bacteroidia; Bacteroidales; Rikenellaceae. The record is from RNAcentral.
GGGGUUGACCGGUUUUGACAGCAGGAUGACAAGUGUGACUUAGCACGUAGAGGGGAUGUUUGUGGCCUCUUAAAUCUCGGCAAACGCAAAUUGACUGGCAAUAAUAGCUAUGCACUCGCUGCGUAAUCGUUGACAGAAGUCCGAUUCCUUAAUCCGCGUGGCCAAGGCUGCCUCGCCGACGAGUACCCGUUCUGCUCUUUUUCUGUUUUGAGCGUGAACAAUGGGUAUCAAACUAAUAACAGAUAGCCACUAGGCGUCGCCUUGCGUUUUGUGGUAAAGUUUUAGAGGAUUGGCUUUAGAGUUGGUUGUUCUCCACCUGCUUUUUGGCUGAAAAUUAAGCGAGGACUAAACGUGUAGAGGGGUUAUGUUUGCCCUGUUUGGACGAGGGUUCGAUUCCCUCCAACUCCACCA